This 206-nucleotide long non-coding RNA is filed under the name Lathyrus oleraceus (garden pea). RNAcentral's name for it is "Pisum sativum (pea) long non-coding RNA (PSAT_LNC032175)". Lineage: Eukaryota; Viridiplantae; Streptophyta; Magnoliopsida; Fabales; Fabaceae. The record is from RNAcentral.
AAAACAAGGGAUAAUCCAGAGAUGCAUCUCUGGAGAGAUCCUUAUUUUUUGAAAUAAAAUGUUGAUCUGGAUAUGUAUCUCCGAAGUAUUUCAUGCAAAUAUGGUCAUAUUUGUAAGGUCUUUAUUGCUCUACAACUUCUAUAAAUAUGGUCUCUCAUUCCAUUUUCUUUACACAAACCAAAAUGAGUACAUAUCCCCAUAUUGCA